This 393-nucleotide ribosomal RNA is filed under the name uncultured bacterium. RNAcentral describes it as "partial 16S ribosomal RNA". It matches the Rfam family "Bacterial small subunit ribosomal RNA", at positions 355 to 739 of the family's 1533-position model. The record is from RNAcentral.
UGGGGAAUUUUGGACAAUGGGCGAAAGCCUGAUCCAGCAAUGCCGCGUGUGUGAAGAAGGCCUUCGGGUUGUAAAGCACUUUUGUCCGGAAAGAAAUCCUUGGCUCUAAUACAGUCGGGGGAUGACGGUACCGGAAGAAUAAGCACCGGCUAACUACGUGCCAGCAGCCGCGGUAAUACGUAGGGUGCAAGCGUUAAUCGGAAUUACUGGGCGUAAAGCGUGCGCAGGCGGUUUGCUAAGACCGAUGUGAAAUCCCCGGGCUCAACCUGGGAACUGCAUUGGUGACUGGCAGGCUAGAGUAUGGCAGAGGGGGGUAGAAUUGCCACGUGUAGCAGUGAAAUGCGUAGAGAUGUGGAGGAAUACCGAUGGCGAAGGCAGCCCCCUGGGCCAAUA